GACGAACGCUGGCGGCGUGCUUAACACAUGCAAGUCGUACGGUAAGGCCCUUUCGGGGGUCCCCGAGUGGCGAACGGGUGAGUAACACGUGAGUAACCUGCCCACAACUUUGGGAUAACGCUAGGAAACUGGUGCUAAUACUGGAUAUGUGCUCCUGCUGCAUGGUGGGGGUUGGAAAGCUCCGGCGGUUGUGGAUGGGCUCGCGGCCUAUCAGCUUGUUGGUGGGGUAGUGGCCUACCAAGGCGGCGACGGGUAGCCGGCCUGAGAGGGUGACCGGCCACAUUGGGACUGAGAUACGGCCCAGACUCCUACGGGAGGCAGCAGGGGGGAAUAUUGCACAAUGGGCGCAAGCCUGAUGCAGCAACGCCGCGUGCGGGAUGACGGCCUUCGGGUUGUAAACCGCUUUCAGCAGGGACGAAGCUUUUUGUGACGGUACCUGCAGAAGAAGCACCGGCUAACUACGUG
RNAcentral lists this ribosomal RNA (465 nucleotides) under uncultured bacterium. Its description in RNAcentral is "partial 16S ribosomal RNA". It matches the Rfam family "Bacterial small subunit ribosomal RNA", at positions 28 to 507 of the family's 1533-position model. The record is from RNAcentral.